AGGCACAGCAGUGGAUCGCUCCUUAAGCAAGUGAACGAUAUACAUCGAAUCCGACUCAAUCCAUAAAUAAUUCCAUCCCUUAUCAUGAGCAAUAAAAAUGGCUUUGAUGACCGCAAGAAGCUCCGCUUCAAAGGCAAAGCCCACUCCCCCUUUAUAAUGAAAGCAACCACGAACCCAACUAAAGUUAUCACGAAAGACCCCACCAGCACCAAUAUUACCCGGAG
RNAcentral lists this long non-coding RNA (224 nucleotides) under Salvia miltiorrhiza (redroot sage). RNAcentral's name for it is "long non-coding RNA (SMIL_LNC002679)". The record is from RNAcentral. Lineage: Eukaryota; Viridiplantae; Streptophyta; Magnoliopsida; Lamiales; Lamiaceae.